This 378-nucleotide ribosomal RNA is filed under the name uncultured eukaryote. RNAcentral describes it as "partial 18S ribosomal RNA". It matches the Rfam family "Eukaryotic small subunit ribosomal RNA", at positions 592 to 976 of the family's 1831-position model. The record is from RNAcentral.
CAAUAGCGUAUAUUUAAGUUGUUGCAGUUAAAAAGCUCGUAGUUGGAUUUCGGGUGGGACGCAGCGGUCUCGCAUUGCGUUUGUACUGCUGCAGCCCUCCUUCUUGCCGGGGGCGGCCUCUCGGACUUCACUGUCUGGGGGUCAGAAUCGGCGAUGUUACUUUGAGUAAAUUAGAGUGUUCAAAGCAAGCUUACGCUCUGAAUAUAAUAGCAUGGGAUAACACGACAGGACUCUGGCCUAUCGUGUUGGUCUAUAGGACCAGAGUAAUGAUUAAGAGGGACAGUCGGGGGCAUUCGUAUUCCGUUGUCAGAGGUGAAAUUCUUGGAUUUACGGAAGACGAACAUCUGCGAAAGCAUUUGUCAAGGAUGUUUUCAUUGA